UACGAGAGGCCCAAACGUUAUUCGGAAUUACUGGGCUUAAAGAGUUCGUAGGCGGCAUUGCAAGUAGGGUGUGAAAGCCCUCGGCUCAACCGAGGAAUUGCGCUCUAAACUGCAGUGCUCGAGGAACCUAGAGGUGAGCAGAACAGAUGGUGGAGCGGUGAAAUGCGUUGAUAUUGGGAGGAACACCGGUGGCGAAGGCGGCGACCUGGGUAGAUACUGACGCUGAGGUGCGAAAGCGUGGGGAGCAAACAGG
RNAcentral lists this ribosomal RNA (253 nucleotides) under uncultured bacterium. Its description in RNAcentral is "partial 16S ribosomal RNA". It matches the Rfam family "Bacterial small subunit ribosomal RNA", at positions 524 to 776 of the family's 1533-position model. The record is from RNAcentral.